UGCGUAGGCGGCGACUUAAGUAGGAUGUGAAAUCUCCCGGCUCAACCGGGGAACUGCGUUCUAAACUGGGUUGCUUGAGUGAGAUAGAGGUGUGCGGAACUUCCGGUGGAGCGGUGAAAUGUGUUGAUAUCGGAGGGAACACCGUUGGCGAAAGCGGCACACUGGGUCUUAACUGACGCUGAGGCACGAAAGCCAGGGGAGCAAACG
RNAcentral lists this ribosomal RNA (207 nucleotides) under uncultured bacterium. RNAcentral's name for it is "partial 16S ribosomal RNA". It matches the Rfam family "Bacterial small subunit ribosomal RNA", at positions 568 to 774 of the family's 1533-position model. The record is from RNAcentral.